Molecule: ribosomal RNA, 255 nt
Filed under: uncultured prokaryote
Description: partial 16S ribosomal RNA
Rfam family: Bacterial small subunit ribosomal RNA
Source: RNAcentral
UACGUAGGAGGCGAGCGUUGUCCGGAAUUACUGGGCGUAAAGCGCGCGCAGGCGGCACAGUACGACCGGUGUGAAAGCCCCCGGCUCAACUGGGGAGGGUCACCGGUAACGGCUGAGCUGGCGAGUGCAGGAGAGGGAUGUGGAACUCCGGGAGUAGCGGUGAAAUGCGUAGAGACCCGGAGGAACACCAGUGGCGAAGGCGGCAUCCUGGCCUGCGACUGACGCUGAGGCGCGAAAGCUAGGGGAGCGAACGGG